UACGGGGGGGGCAAGCGUUGUUCGGAAUUACUGGGCGUAAAGGGCUUGUAGGUGGCUCGCUAAGUCGGACGUGAAAUCCCUCAGCUUAACUGGGGAACUGCGUCUGAGACUGGCGAGCUUGAGUGCAGGAGAGGAACGCGGAAUUCCAGGUGUAGCGGUGAAAUGCGUAGAUAUCUGGAGGAACACCGGUGGCGAAGGCGGCGUUCUGGACUGCAACUGACACUGAGGAACGAAAGCCAGGGGAGCAAACGGG
RNAcentral lists this ribosomal RNA (253 nucleotides) under uncultured bacterium. RNAcentral's name for it is "partial 16S ribosomal RNA". It matches the Rfam family "Bacterial small subunit ribosomal RNA", at positions 524 to 776 of the family's 1533-position model. The record is from RNAcentral.